GACGAACGCUGGCGGCGUACUUAACACAUGCAAGUCGAACGGAAAGGCCCUGCUUUUGUGGGGUGCUCGAGUGGCGAACGGGUGAGUAACACGUGAGUAACCUGCCCUUGACUUUGGGAUAACUUCAGGAAACUGGGGCUAAUACCGGAUAGGAGCUCCUGCUGCAUGGUGGGGGUUGGAAAGUUUCGGCGGUUGGGGAUGGACUCGCGGCUUAUCAGCUUGUUGGUGGGGUAGUGGCUUACCAAGGCUUUGACGGGUAGCCGGCCUGAGAGGGUGACCGGCCACAUUGGGACUGAGAUACGGACCAGACUCUUACGGGAGGCAGCAGUGGGGAAUAUUGCACAAUGGGCGGAAGCCUGAUGCAGCAACGCCGCGUGCGGGAUGACGGCCUUCGGGUUGUAAACCGCUUUCGCCUGUGACGAAGCGUGAGUGACGGUAAUGGGUAAAGAAGCACCGGCUAACUACGUG
Molecule: ribosomal RNA, 468 nt
Filed under: uncultured bacterium
Lineage: Bacteria
Description: partial 16S ribosomal RNA
Rfam family: Bacterial small subunit ribosomal RNA
Source: RNAcentral